This 467-nucleotide ribosomal RNA is filed under the name uncultured bacterium. Its description in RNAcentral is "partial 16S ribosomal RNA". It matches the Rfam family "Bacterial small subunit ribosomal RNA", at positions 28 to 507 of the family's 1533-position model. The record is from RNAcentral.
GACGAACGCUGGCGGCGUGCUUAACACAUGCAAGUCGAACGGAAAGGCCCUGCUUUUGUGGGGUGCUCGAGUGGCGAACGGGUGAGUAACACGUGAGUAACCUGCCCUUGACUUUGGGAUAACUUCAGGAAACUGGGGCUAAUACCGGAUAGGAGCUCCUGCUGCAUGGUGGGGGUUGGAAAGUUUCGGCGGUUGGGGAUGGACUCGCGGCUUAUCAGCUUGUUGGUGGGGUAGUGGCUUACCAAGGCUUUGACGGGUAGCCGGCCUGAGAGGGUGACCGGCCCCAUUGGGACUGAGAUACGGCCCAGACUCCUCCGGGAGGCAGCGGUGGGGAAUAUUGCACAAUGGGCGGAAGCCUGAUGCAGCAACGCCGCGUGCGGGAUGACGGCCUUCGGGUUGUAAACCGCUUUCGCCUGUGACGAAGCGUGAGUGACGGUAAUGGUAAAGAAGCACCGGCUAACUACGUG